GUUUUGGUAGUGUAAUGGAUUGGCACGUCAGACCGAAUAUCUGUAGCUGCGGGUUCAAGUCCCACCUGAGGUU
RNAcentral lists this transfer RNA (73 nucleotides) under Dictyocaulus viviparus (bovine lungworm). It matches the Rfam family "tRNA". From Rfam's summary of the family: Transfer RNA (tRNA) molecules are approximately 80 nucleotides in length. Their secondary structure includes four short double-helical elements and three loops (D, anti-codon, and T loops). Further hydrogen bonds mediate the characteristic L-shaped molecular structure. tRNAs have two regions of fundamental functional importance: the anti-codon, which is responsible for specific mRNA codon recognition, and the 3' end, to which the tRNAs corresponding amino acid is attached (by aminoacyl-tRNA synthetases). tRNAs cope with the degeneracy of the genetic code in two manners: having more than one tRNA (with a specific anti-codon) for a particular amino acid; and 'wobble' base-pairing, i.e. permitting non-standard base-pairing at the 3rd anti-codon position. The record is from Rfam by way of RNAcentral. Lineage: Eukaryota; Metazoa; Nematoda; Chromadorea; Rhabditida; Metastrongylidae.